Molecule: ribosomal RNA, 301 nt
Filed under: uncultured bacterium
Lineage: Bacteria
Description: partial 16S ribosomal RNA
Rfam family: Bacterial small subunit ribosomal RNA
Source: RNAcentral
CAGCCGCCGCGGUAAUACGUAGGUGGCAAGCGUUGUCCGGAAUUAUUGGGCGUAAAGGGCUCGCAGGCGGUUUCUUAAGUCUGAUGUGAAAGCCCCCGGCUCAACCGGGGAGGGACAUUGGAAACUGGGAAACUUGAGUGCAGAAGAGGAGAGUGGAAUUCCACGUGUAGCGGUGAAAUGCGUAGAGAUGUGGAGGAACACCAGUGGCGAAGGCGACUCUCUGGUCUGUAACUGACGCUGAGGAGCGAAAGCGUGGGGAGCGAACAGGAUUAGAUACCCGUGUAGUCCCUGUCUCUUAUAC